Panthera uncia (snow leopard) is the source of this 765-nucleotide long non-coding RNA. RefSeq lists it as uncharacterized. The transcript has 3 exons. The record is from RefSeq and is a predicted model, not a curated record. Lineage: Eukaryota; Metazoa; Chordata; Mammalia; Carnivora; Felidae.
GGUGGGCAGAGCUAUAGGUGUCCCCACUCCCAGUGGCCCACAUCCUAAUCAAAGGUGAAGGGCCCCUCAAGCACCCGGACAGUGUGUUUAAGCCCCCCCUAGUCUCAGGACCCCAGAUCUGCCCCCGCCCAGACUCAACCCUGGAAGCCCCUAGUUGUUGAGAAAAGGCCGCAGCCCCCCUGGCCCUGCCUUCCCUUACCACCCUCUGCCGCCCCCACUGAGAGAGAACCCCCAGGAGCCCAACAGUCCCAACUGCCAGGUCCUCGGUUGCCAUGGCGACAGAAGCUGGCAGGGAGAGGGAGGGGCCCCACCAACCUGCCUGCUCCCCCCGCCCCCGGGGACCCCCAUAAGCAGCUCCCAGGCCACUUGGAAGACACUUGAAGGGGGCUGGUGAAAUGGCCCCGUGCCUCUGCUCCUUUCUCGAAAGGCAAUGAUGCCCCGAAUCUGCCUGGCGCCAGAUCUCCAAGCCACCUGUCCCCAGAUAGGGAGACCCUCUUCCUGCCCCCAGACCCGUCCGGAGUCCCAGAGCCCCCAGACCCCCACACACCCCCUUCUGGCUUCCUGGCCUGCGCCCCCUCCCAGCCCCGCACACCCCAGCAGAGUCCCUGGGCAGCACAGUAAAGAUGACUGGUUUCGGUAUCAGUGUGUAAACUUUUAAGGAGAACGUGUCUUUGUUUUCCUGUCCGUUAUUGUCGGGUGGGGGUUGUUCACAGUCAGGUGGUGGUCAGGUGUGUGCGUGGGUGCGUGCGUGCGGGUGUGCGUGUG